GGAGAAGAUAAAUCAAGAUCAUCGGCACAGAAUUUGGACCAUAGCAAAUCAUCGGAGCUCCAAUUCCUAAACCUUUUGCUAACACAAGCCACAGAUGCAGCAUCUUGAGGCGUCAAUUUUGAUAAGAUUAUAUGCAUCGACAGCCCACCUAACCUUUCUACAUCCAUCUUUUCUCUUCCUCCGCCGUCUACCGCCGGCCGCCGGAGAUAAUAGAAACGCCAAAGUGAGUUAAGAUGAAAGAGAAGAGAGGAACUGGUUUAUUU
This 263-nucleotide unclassified non-coding RNA is filed under the name Hevea brasiliensis (rubber tree). Lineage: Eukaryota; Viridiplantae; Streptophyta; Magnoliopsida; Malpighiales; Euphorbiaceae. The record is from RNAcentral.